Molecule: long non-coding RNA, 615 nt
Filed under: Lepisosteus oculatus (spotted gar)
Lineage: Eukaryota; Metazoa; Chordata; Actinopteri; Semionotiformes; Lepisosteidae
Description: lncRNA (ENSLOCG00000021147.1)
Source: RNAcentral
GUUUUUCUAGGUUUCAAUUUUUCCUCAAUUUAAUUGUUUUUGCUAUAGCACUGUUUAGUUAUUUUAUACUAGCAGAAGAAACUGUACUUGCCCUGGUUAGCAUCCACCCAAGGAGUUUUAUAUGGUUCCUGGGCUCAUACUGUACUUUAAGGACAUGUGUUGUAAGUGAAGAACACAAAGAGUAUGUCCUGGGCAUGGUUCAUCUCCUCUAAUGUGACUGAGGCAGAGAAACCCAGCUGGGAGGUCUGCAUCCUAAUAGCAGAAUAGGAUUAAAGAACUCCCUGGUGUCUGCAGUGCACUAGCGUGUGAAAGCUUUGGCUGUCAUCAAUAUUGAAGUGCAAGGAUAGGGAUAUCCAUCAGGAAAUCUGAAUGCAUAGGGAGAAUACAAAAGUUUCUCAGGAAAAAAGGAUGGGUUUUAUAUUAUCAUGUUCCUUAGCAGCAUCCUGUGUCAUGUACAGAACUUUAUAGCAUAAAGAAACGAUCGUAUUCACCUUGGAGCUACAUUAGCUAUGGACAAAUACCUUAAAAAGACCCUCACUGCCAAAGUUUGUGAUAUUGAACCAGUUUCCUUGAGCAAUUGAUUAGAUAUUGCAUUUGAAACCUCUACAAAGUUCA